GGAAGGCUCGUCCGCUCUGGGUUAGUCGGGUCCUAAGCUGAGGCCGACAGGCGUAGGCGAUGGAUAACAGGUUGAUAUUCCUGUACCACCUAUAAUCGUUUUAAUCGAUGGGGGGACGCAGUAGGAUAGGCGAAGCGUGCGAUUGGAUUGCACGUCUAAGCAGUAAGGCUGAGUAUUAGGCAAAUCCGGUACUCAUUAAGGCUGAGCUGUGAUGGGGAGAAGACAUUGUGUCUUCGAGUCGUUGAUUUCACACUGCCGAGAAAAGCCUCUAGAUAGAAAAUAGGUGCCCGUACCGCAAACCGACACAGGUAGUCAAGAUGAGAAUUCUAAGGUGAGCGAGCGAACUCUCGUUAAGGAACUCGGCAAAAUGACCCCGUAACUUCGGGAGAAGGGGUGCUCUUUAGGGUUAACGCCCAGAAGAGCCGCAGUGAAUAGGCCCAAGCGACUGUUUAUCAAAAACACAGGUCUCUGCUAAACCGUAAGGUGAUGUAUAGGGGCUGACGCCUGCCCGGUGCUGGAAGGUUAAGAGGAGUGGUUAGCUUCUGCGAAGCUACGAAUCGAAGCCCCAGUAAACGGCGGCCGUAACUAUAACGGUCCUAAGGUAGCGAAAUUCCUUGUCGGGUAAGUUCCGACCCGCACGAAAGGCGUAACGAUUUGGGCACUGUCUCAACGAGAGACUCGGUGAAAUCAUAGUACCUGUGAAGAUGCAGGUUACCCGCGACAGGACGGAAAGACCCCGUGGAGCUUUACUGUAGCCUGAUAUUGAAAUUCGGCACAGCUUGUACAGGAUAGGUAGGAGCCUUUGAAACGUGAGCGCUAGCUUACGUGGAGGCGCUGGUGGGAUACUACCCUAGCUGUGUUGGCUUUCUAACCCGCACCACUUAUCGUGGUGGGAGACAGUGUCAGGCGGGCAGUUUGACUGGGGCGGUCGCCUCCUAAAAGGUAACGGAGGCGCUCAAAGGUUCCCUCAGAAUGGUUGGAAAUCAUUCAUAGAGUGUAAAGGCAUAAGGGAGCUUGACUGCGAGACCUACAAGUCGAGCAGGGUCGAAAGACGGACUUAGUGAUCCGGUGGUUCCGCAUGGAAGGGCCAUCGCUCAACGGAUAAAAGCUACCCCGGGGAUAACAGGCUUAUCUCCCCCAAGAGUUCACAUCGACGGGGAGGUUUGGCACCUCGAUGUCGGCUCAUCGCAUCCUGGGGCUGUAGUCGGUCCCAAGGGUUGGGCUGUUCGCCCAUUAAAGCGGUACGCGAGCUGGGUUCAGAACGUCGUGAGACAGUUCGGUCCCUAUCCGUCGUGGGCGUAGGAAAUUUGAGAGGAGCUGUCCUUAGUACGAGAGGACCGGGAUGGACAUACCUCUGGUGUACCAGUUGUCGUGCCAACGGCAUAGCUGGGUAGCUAUGUGUGGACGGGAUAAGUGCUGAAAGCAUCUAAGCAUGAAGCCCCCCUCAAGAUGAGAUUUCCCAACUUCGGUUAUAAGAUCCCUCAAAGAUGAUGAGGUUAAUAGGUUCGAGGUGGAAGCAUGGUGACAUGUGGAGCUGACGAAUACUAA
RNAcentral lists this ribosomal RNA (1548 nucleotides) under Staphylococcus aureus. RNAcentral describes it as "partial 23S ribosomal RNA". It matches the Rfam family "Bacterial large subunit ribosomal RNA", at positions 1359 to 2904 of the family's 2925-position model. The record is from RNAcentral. Lineage: Bacteria; Bacillati; Bacillota; Bacilli; Caryophanales; Staphylococcaceae.